GGAGGAAUAUUGGACAAUGGGCGCAAGCCUGAUCCAGCCAUGCCGCGUGCAGGAAGACGGUCCUAUGGAUUGUAAACUGCUUUUGUACGGGAAGAAACACUCCUACGUGUAGGAGCUUGACGGUACCGUAAGAAUAAGGAUCGGCUAACUCCGUGCCAGCAGCCGCGGUAAUACGGAGGAUCCAAGCGUUAUCCGGAAUCAUUGGGUUUAAAGGGUCCGUAGGCGGUUUAAUAAGUCAGUGGUGAAAUCU
This 250-nucleotide ribosomal RNA is filed under the name uncultured bacterium. Its description in RNAcentral is "partial 16S ribosomal RNA". It matches the Rfam family "Bacterial small subunit ribosomal RNA", at positions 355 to 602 of the family's 1533-position model. The record is from RNAcentral.